RNAcentral lists this long non-coding RNA (1063 nucleotides) under Homo sapiens (human). RNAcentral describes it as "HSALNT0138301". Lineage: Eukaryota; Metazoa; Chordata; Mammalia; Primates; Hominidae. The record is from RNAcentral.
GAAACCCUGGGCUCAAGUCAUCCUCCUGCUGCAGCUCCUCUAGUAGCUAAGACUGCAGGUGAAAAUUCUAACAAGGAGCAAACAGCAAAGAACUGAAAUGCUAUACAGACUCCAGUGAGAAAAAACUGAGGUAAUUGGUUUCGGUGUGCUGGUGCUUGAAACUCUAUCCCAGUGCUUCCUUCAACUAAGGCUGCAAAUUGAAAAUGUGAAGAACCUUGCCUGCUUGAACCAGCCUGGGCUUGUGGCAGCAUCAUUCUGUCACUUAAUUCUUCUCACAGAGAUCACAUAGCUUUGCUUCCAUACCUAAAUUACUACAAAUUUGUGUCCGCUUGAAUGUUAUGUAAUUUAACCAGAAAUUGAAGAAAUACCACCAUUUUAAAGAAAAUAUGGUCAUAAACACUAUGGAAUACUAUGCAACCAUAACAAGAAUGAAAUCAUGUCCUUUGCAGCAACAUGGAUGUAGCUGGAGGCCAUUAUCCUGGGCAAAUUUGCAGGAGCAGAAAACCAGAUACCACAUCUCACAUGUAAGUGGGAGCUAAGCAUUUGGUAUACAUGGAUAUAAAGAUGGGAAAAAUAGACACUUGGUGACUAUUAGAGAGAGGAAAGAGGGAGAAGGGAGAAGCUAAAAACUACCUGUUGGGUAUUAUGCUCACUACUUGGGUGAUGGGAUCGUUUGUACCCCAAGCCUCAGCAUCACACGGUAUACCCAUGUAACAAACCUGCACACGGAUCCCCUGAAUCUAAAAUAAAAGUUGAAAUUAUUGUUUAAAAAAAAGGAUCUAAUAAACAUAGUAUUACAAUGUUGAUGCAUCCCUUAUUUUUAUUUAUUUAUUUAUUUUUGAGAUGCAACCUCCACCUCCUGGGUUCAAGCGAUUCUCCUGCCUCAGCCUCCUGAGUAGCAGGGAUUACAGGUGCAUGCCACCAUGCCCAGCUAAUUUUUUAUAUCUUUAGUAGAGACGGGGUUUCACCAUGUUGGCCAGGCUGGUCUCAAACUCCUGACUUUGUGAUCCACCUGCUUCGGCCUCCCAAAGUGCUGGGAUUUCAGGCGUGAGCCACCGCGCCC